CACGAAUCAGUGGCAUGCCACUGUGGCCAAGAAGGCCAAUGGUAUACUGAGGUGCAUUAAAACAAAUGUGGCCAGCAGGUCAGCGGACCUUUGUCCUCUACUCUGUCCGGGUGAGGCCACAUCUGAAGUACUGCAUCCAGGUCUGGGUUCCUUUGUUAAAAAAGAAGGAUCUUCUAGGUCCAGAGCAGGGCCACAAAGAUGAGUAAGGGCUUGGAGCAUCUCCUUUCUGAGAAAAGGCUGAGACACCUGAGACUGUUCAGCCUGGAGAACAGAAGGCUGAGAGGGGAUCUCAUCACUGCUUAUAAAUAUCUAAACUGUGGGAGUUAAAUGAGUGGGGCCAGGCAGUGGUGCGGUGCAGUGACAGAACAAGGAGCAAUGGGCACAAACUGCAACACAGGAAGUUCCACAGAAACACAAAGAAGAAAUUCUUUAUUGUGAGGGAGACAGAGCACAGGAACAUGUGUCCAGAGAGGUUGUGGAGUCUCCUCUGGAGAUAUUCAAGACCCAUGUGGACACUUUCAUGCUGACUGAAUAAACUUGCUUUACAAUUGAGGAACUUCUUGAGUUUCCAGUGCUGCGUACACAAGAAUAUCUUGGAAUGGAACGUGAUGGCAGGUGCAGGUACUCGUGGGAAUAUUAUGGGUAAAUUAUGGGUAAUAUACAAAUAUUUAUUUAUAAAAACAGAAUCAUUGGGCUUUUAUUUUGUUUUAUUGGUAACACGCCGUAUUUAGGUAUAGCCCGGGCUUUUAUUUUGGCUGAAGGUAAGAUCUCAAACUGCCUCCUAAAAGCUUGAGAGCGGCAUUGUUUCAGAGAUAAAAGGGAGAGGAAGAGCACGAGCUGUCUGUACCGCUUAUGGGAAGGGCAGACGCAUAGCGCGGUACUUUCUCAGCGCCCACGGGGAUACAAACGACACCGCGAACAACCGGUUGAAACCGCAGUAAGUGGAGCAAGGCGGUGAGCAGGUAUGUGCCCGCAGGGAAAAACAAGGGGGUGCGUAAGGGGGGAAAGCCUUACGAAGGCUGGCAUAGAAAUUAAAGGCUAAAAAUUAACCGAGGUGGGUAACUCGGAGCCCGAUUGCGAUCAGCCGCUCGACCGGCUGCGGGCUGACCCGCGCCUCGGCCGCAUUCCUUCACGCCCCGCUCGGCCGGAGCCGCCCGCCCGCCCGGAGCCUCCCAUCCGCACAUCCUCGCG
This 1191-nucleotide long non-coding RNA is filed under the name Gallus gallus (chicken). RNAcentral's name for it is "lncRNA (ENSGALG00010015106.1)". Lineage: Eukaryota; Metazoa; Chordata; Aves; Galliformes; Phasianidae. The record is from RNAcentral.